This 166-nucleotide ribosomal RNA is filed under the name uncultured bacterium. RNAcentral's name for it is "partial 16S ribosomal RNA". It matches the Rfam family "Bacterial small subunit ribosomal RNA", at positions 340 to 523 of the family's 1533-position model. The record is from RNAcentral.
UACGGGAGGCAGCAGUGGGGAAUAUUGGACAAUGGGCGCAAGCCUGAUCCAGCCAUGCCGCGUGAGUGAUGAAGGCCCUAGGGUUGUAAAGCUCUUUCACCGGUGAAGAUAAUGACGGUAACCGGAGAAAAAGCCCCGGCUAACUUCGUGCCAGCAGCCGCGGUAA